UUUAUUAUUGUACUGGUCAACACAUGUACAAAUACUGUGUAAAAAGCACCCCAAAACCCAGUGACUUAAAAUAAUCAUUUAUUCUCAUUCAUAUCUGCAGGUCAACUUAUGCUUGGCUCCUAGCCAAAGGUGUCUCAUUCUCUGGUCUUGGGGUUAGCUGGAGCUUGUUCUUCUCAGGAUGAUGGCAAGCCAGCCAGAGGGCUAUAGAACAGGAGAAUAUAGAAGUGUUAAAGUGUAAAAACAUGUCAUAUCUGCUAACUUUCCACUGGCUAAGCCUGUCGUUAAUGGCAUGGAGUAUAUUCCAGUCAUGGUAGGAGAGGAAGGGGAGUGAACAUUUCCUGAAUGAAAAUCAAACUUCACAGUCUGGUUUGGCAAACAAAUAUAAAAGCAGACUUCAAGGUGGCUUAAGGAAAUAAAAGUUUAUUUUCUACCUGUGCAGCAAUAUUCUAUGUUAAUUUUCUGAUCAGGGAGCUUCCUUCUUGGUGGCUCAGGCUUCCAGUCCCCUUCUCUCUUGUUACCAUGCGCUCCUAAGUCCUGGAAGUCCAUUCCAUCCAGCCAGUGUAUGAGGAAAGAGGAAAGGAUAAAGGACUGUUAGCAAGAGAUAUCACUUUCUAGUUCUUAUCUUCUUGAAAAGUAUUUCAGUCAAGAGGUUUAUAUAGAAAAACAAAAAUAUUAAGUAAAAUGGAAGUACAUGGAACAGGCCACCUCCAAGAGGUAAAUGUCCUGGGGUUUUCCAUGUGGCUGGUGUUUAUAUUGGUCUGGAAACCUCCCUUCUCAUAUAUUAUGUAUUUGGGGUGGUUACCAUGGUUUCUCACCAAGGCUUAGUGCCUUGGUGCUCUGAGCAGGCCUUAAAGUUGGAAACUCCCUUAGGGUGGUUAUAUCUUUUUCUUUUUAGUUUUUAGAAGGUAGUAUCUGGUGGUGAAGGAGGCUGGUUUAUGGGCAGGGUGGAAUGAUCUUUUGUCACUCAAGAUAAAAUUAGCCCUACUUUAUCUCCCUCCAUUCCCCUGCUCAUACCUAGCUACUUAUACUAAUAGGACUACUCUAGAUUUUUAAGGACCAGGCUUAGAAGUAGUCCCUAUUACUCUCUGUCCUUUUUUAUUUAUUUAUUUAUUUAUUUAUUUUUGGUCAGAAGUUGGUCUCAUGGUCUCAUAAAACUGUAAGGGAGGAUGGGAAAUGUAGACUAGCCAUACUCUGGAGAAAAAGAAAGCAGUGUUAGACCUGAAGCAGUCUCUGCUGCCUACCAUUAAAGAAUUUGCUAAACUUGAACAUAAAAAUAUCCAGAGAUUACUACUCUUUGGAAGGUUUCACUGGUACUUGAUUACUCUUCACAUGUAGUGAAUUCCUAGGUCCUUACUGAGUAUGGAAAAAUUCAAUCAUCCCAAUUUGGAUCCAUGGUGAACUUCAAUUCCAGUUUUCCUUUAUUUAGGAAACAAAGGAAUCUAAUCUCCUAAAUAUAGCUAUGGAGACAAACAUUUGGAGAAAGAGCAAGCAUGCAGAAUCCCCCCCCCCCAAAAAAAAGGAGUUCUUAGUGAACUUGCUGACAACCUGUAUUCUGUUCAGUGCAGCUCUGUGACCCAUCUCUAUAAAGUAGCUAGCCUUUUUGGCAUUCAUUGCUCAAGAACAAUGACAGAUCUGUUAGUUUCAUCUAAUCCUAUGGGAAGUGACUUUAAAAUAUCUAGAUUCUUUGACACUUCUCCUAUCAUUUCUUAAGUAUAGCUUGGCCAUGGUGACUUUCUUCUAAGGAAGAAAAUGUGGCAGAAAUGAUGCUUUAUGAAAUUAAAAGGAUAUGAACAGGAAAAUAAGAGCUCAUAUUAUCUGUUUGUCAUGAUAUGAACCUAUAGAAGACCAAAAACUCUAGAAAACUUCUAGAGCUCAUAAGUAAUUCAGCAAAAUAGCAGGAUACAAAAUCCACACCCAUAAAUCAAUUGCAUUCCUAUACUUCAAUGAUUAAUCUUUU
This 1957-nucleotide long non-coding RNA is filed under the name Marmota monax (woodchuck). Lineage: Eukaryota; Metazoa; Chordata; Mammalia; Rodentia; Sciuridae. The record is from RNAcentral.